RNAcentral lists this long non-coding RNA (1033 nucleotides) under Homo sapiens (human). Its description in RNAcentral is "HSALNT0347582". Lineage: Eukaryota; Metazoa; Chordata; Mammalia; Primates; Hominidae. The record is from RNAcentral.
GAGGAAGAGACAUUAGGGAUGUGAGUGCAUAAAGAAAAGGCCACGUGAGGACACAGCAAGAAAGUGGUCAUCUGCAAGCGCAAAAGACAGGCCUCAGAAGAACCCAACCCUAUUGACACUAUGAUCUUGGACAUCCAGCCUCCAGAACUUGUACUGGACAACCUAAGACAGGGAAAUAAAGAUAAAGUUUGGAUUGAAGAGUGAGGAGCCAAAAUAAUGCAGCUUCACAUCUCCUUAAUGGACAGAAGACUACACUGUUUUUGCUGCACCCAGAGAUAAAAUUAUUGGUUUUGGAGUACCUUCACUGAUGCCAGGGGUGUCAUCUUUACCUUCCAUCACAUAAUAUAUAUAAAGAGAAUUUUUCUUAGCUUUAAAUGAGUUGAUAAGAGGACAAGAAGAAAGUCAAGGACUCCAUUUCCAGGAUUAAAAGCGGUUUUUUCCUUUGUCUUCCAAAUCCUAGCAGUAGAAGCAUUUGAGUUCUGCAGAAAUUACUGAAGUGGUUCAAGUGUGGGCAGUCAGGACACUCAGCCCACCAUACUCAACCCCAACUCAACCUCAACUCUCAGUACGGCAGAGAGACGGAGAACUCAGAGCUAUAACUUUCAGGAAUUCUCAAAACCUCAGACAAAAUGCAUCUUUGUUUUACCACCUGUUAAAGUAUAUCCUCAUCUGCCUCAGUGCACAUAAGUAUACAACACUGCAGAUUGUGUUUAACUUCAUUUGCAAUUAAUUUAACGCAUUUUGUAUCCAACAUUUCUACUAGGAAAUAGUAUUAGUCUAUCCCCAAACUAAAAUUCACUGCAAAAAUGUAAUUCACUCAAGAAAAAUAAUGAUAAUUCUUCAAACACCUUGAGAUGUCAUUCAACAAUCAUACCCAAUGGGUAAAAUUUAGAGUUCAACAUUUAGCUUGCAUUUCUUUCUAACCAAACAUCUCAAGUUCAAAAAAUAAAGCAGAUUGUUUUGUGCAUUUGUUAUCACUACCACAUCAAUGGUCACCUACACUUCCUGAGCCCCAAAUAGAACUCUCAGAGAA